This 459-nucleotide ribosomal RNA is filed under the name Leptobrachium smithi (Smith's litter frog). RNAcentral describes it as "partial 12S rRNA". It matches the Rfam family "Bacterial small subunit ribosomal RNA", at positions 868 to 1522 of the family's 1533-position model. The record is from RNAcentral. Lineage: Eukaryota; Metazoa; Chordata; Amphibia; Anura; Megophryidae.
UCCGCCCGGGUACUACGAGCUUAGCUUAAAACCCAAAGGACUUGGCGGUGCCCUAUUCCAUCUAGAGGAGCCUGUUCUUUAAUCGAUAAUCCACGAUUCACCUUACCAUUUCUUGCCAAAACAGCCUAUAUACCGCCGUCGUAAACUUACCCUUUGAAGGAAUCAUAGAAAGUUUAAAGGUACCCGCCAAAACGUCAGGUCCACGUGUAGCAAAUGAAAUGGGAAGAAAUGGGCUACAUUUUCUAUAAUAGACCAAACGGAUAAUCAAUAUGAAAUCUGAUCAUGAAGGAGGAUUUAGUAGUAAAAAGAAAUCAUCAAAUUCUUUUUAACUUGGCCCUGGGGCGCGCACACACCGCCCGUCACCCUCUUCGACUAUAUUAAUUUUAUACUUAAUAACUAUUUUAAAACUUAGAAGAGGAAAGUCGUAACAUGGUAAGUAUACCGGAAGGUGUACUUGGA